This 468-nucleotide ribosomal RNA is filed under the name uncultured bacterium. Its description in RNAcentral is "partial 16S ribosomal RNA". It matches the Rfam family "Bacterial small subunit ribosomal RNA", at positions 28 to 507 of the family's 1533-position model. The record is from RNAcentral.
GACGAACGCUGGCGGCGUGCUUAACACGUGCAAGUCGAACGGAAGGGCCCUGCUUUUGUGGGGUGCUCGAGUGGCGAACGGGUGAGUAACAUGUGAGUAACCUGCCCUUGACUUUGGGAUAACUUCAGGAAACUGGGGCUAAUACCGGAUAGGAGCUCCUGCUGCAUGGUGGGGGUUGGAAAGUUUCGGCGGUUGGGGAUGGACUCGCGGCUUAUCAGCUUGUUGGUGGGGUAGUGGCUUACCAAGGCUUUGACGGGUAGCCCGCCUGAGAGGGUGGCCGGGCACAAUUGGACUGAGGUACGGCCCAGAAUCCUUAGGGGGGCAAGAGGUGGGAAUAUUGCACAAUGGGCGGAAGCCUGAUGCAGCAACGCCGCGUGCGGGAUGACGGCCUUCGGGUUGUAAACCGCUUUCGCCUGUGACGAAGCGUGAGUGACGGUAAUGGGUAAAGAAGCACCGGCUAACUACGUG